UUAAAAAUCCCUCUCCAUGAAGAAGGCUGAUAUUUACCUACUUUUUCUCAGAUGCUAUAAUUUGACUCACUGAUGUCGUAUCUGAAGUUAUUCUGGAGUGUGGUCUGAGACGAGACAGCUGAUCUCCCUGGCCCGCUCCUCAAGCCACGGGGCCAGGUGUUCUGUGCAGGUGGGGCUGGGCCUGGCUCUGGGCUGUGAUUCUGUUCCUCACCUGUUGGCCCAUCUCCGCCGCAGAACCAUGUGGUUUCAAUGAUUGUAGCUUUUAGGCAUGUUAAGACCUAGAAAGGCAAGAUGCCUCUCUCGGCACAUUUUCUAGCUUCUCUCUCCUGUUCAGAGCUUCGUCUGUUACAAGGCUGUGGAUCUCGUUGAUGGGCGCCUGGGAGGGGAUGAGGGAAGUGGGGUGACCCAGGUCAUGUGGCAGAGUCCUCUCGUGGACUCCGCUCAUCUGACUUUACCCCUACUCAUGGGCAGUGCAAGUCACUCUUUUUUUUUUUUUUUAAACUAUUUUUAAAAAAAAUUAUUUUUUAAAAUUUUGACCGUGCCUGCAGCUUUGGGAUCUUUGUUCCCUGGCCAAGGAUUGGAACCCAAGUCCCCACCCCUGGACUGCCAGGGAAUUCCCACAAGUUACUUCUUUUACCAGAAGCCUGGCCUGGCCCCUGGUUCUGGAGCGGCACCAUACCCGACAAAUGCUCUGUUCCCAUCUUCCUGCCAGCCCCCCAGAGCCCUCCCUGGAGACAGACUAAGGCCAGGACCAGAGAACGCCUGCACUCAGGGCUGUUCACCAGAGCCCUGCCUCUCUUCCCUGUAUGUGGAUAUCCAGAAUGAGCUUGGAGGCUUGAGCAGGAGUCCAGGCCACACUUGCCAUUGUUCCAGCCUCUUGGGCUCACACUGCCUCCAGGAAGCCCUCCCAGAUACCCCAUCAGCUGGCAGCGCAGAGGCCCGGAGCAGAGGCACAGCAGUCAGAGGUCAGCUGUGAUGCCUCAGGCAGUCUCCUCACCCUCACUGAGCCUCCAUUUCUUCCUGUUCAGUGGAGACAGGCAUGGCAGCCACCUCGGUGCCCGUGAGGACCCGGUGAGGUGCUGCU
RNAcentral lists this long non-coding RNA (1084 nucleotides) under Bos grunniens (domestic yak). Its description in RNAcentral is "lncRNA (ENSBGRG00000024988.1)". Lineage: Eukaryota; Metazoa; Chordata; Mammalia; Artiodactyla; Bovidae. The record is from RNAcentral.